RNAcentral lists this ribosomal RNA (141 nucleotides) under Bacillus sp. SRB_28. RNAcentral describes it as "partial 23S ribosomal RNA". It matches the Rfam family "Eukaryotic large subunit ribosomal RNA", at positions 825 to 965 of the family's 3401-position model. The record is from RNAcentral. Lineage: Bacteria; Bacillati; Bacillota; Bacilli; Caryophanales; Bacillaceae.
GGUGAACUAUGCUUGAGCAGGAUGAAGCCAGUGGAAACUCUGGUGGAGGUCCGAAGCGAUACUGACGUGCAAAUCGUUCGUCUGACUUGAGUAUAGGGGCGAAAGACUAAUCGAACUAUCUAGUAGCUGGUUCCCUCCGAA